Molecule: ribosomal RNA, 717 nt
Filed under: uncultured bacterium
Lineage: Bacteria
Description: bacterial SSU rRNA
Rfam family: Bacterial small subunit ribosomal RNA
Source: RNAcentral
GGCGAACUGGUGAGUAACACGUGGGCCAUUUGCCCUUGAAGUAGGGGAUAACACUUGGAAACAGGUGCUAAUACCGUAUAACAACCAAAACCACCUGGUUUUGGUUUAAAAGACGGCUUCGGCUGUCACUUUAGGAUGGACCCGCGGCGUAUUAGCUUGUUGGUAAGGUAACGGCCUACCAAGGCGAUGAUACGUAGCCGACCUGAGAGGGUAAUCGGCCACAUUGGGACUGAGACACGGCCCAAACUCCUACGGGAGGCAGCAGUAGGGAAUCUUCCACAAUGGACGAAAGUCUGAUGGAGCAACGCCGCGUGAGUGAUGAAGGGUUUCGGCUCGUAUAACUCUGUUGUUGGAGAAGAACAGGUGUCAGAGUAACUGUUGACAUCUUGACGGUAUCCAACCAGAAAGCCACGGCUAACUACGUGCCAGCAGCCGCGGUAAUACGUAGGUGGCAAGCGUUGUCCGGAUUUAUUGGGCGUAAAGCGAGCGCAGGCGGUUUUUUAGGUCUGAUGUGAAAGCCUUCGGCUUAACCGGAGAAGUGCAUCGGAAACCGGGAGACUUGAGUGUAGAAGAGGACAGUGGAACUCCAUGUGUAGCGGUGAAAUGCGUAGAUAUAUGGAAGAACACCAGUGGCGAAGGCGGCUGUCUGGUCUGUAACUGACGCUGAGGCUCGAAAGCAUGGGUAGCGAACAGGAUUAGAUACCCUGGUAGUCCAUG